CAGCCGUAAACUAUGCUCGCUAGGUGUCAGGGACGGUGCGACCGUUUCUGGUGCCGCAGGGAAGCCGUGAAGCGAGCCACCUGGGAAGUACGGUCGCAAGGCUGAAACUUAAAGGAAUUGGCGGGGGGAGGCACCACAACGGGUGGAGCCUGCGGUUUAAUUGGACUCAACGCCGGGAAGCUCACCGGAUAAGACAGCGGAAUGAUUGCCGGGCUGAAGACCCUGCAUGACCAGCUGAGAGGAGGUGCAUGGCGUAGUCGUGU
Molecule: ribosomal RNA, 263 nt
Filed under: uncultured archaeon
Lineage: Archaea
Description: partial 16S ribosomal RNA
Rfam family: Archaeal small subunit ribosomal RNA
Source: RNAcentral